AUAGACAGGGAAUGGAAACAGCACUCUAUUGAUCUUGGCUUAUUUAUUCAUAAACUAGGAAAGCAGUGGAACAGCUAUGCUGGAAGCCUACUUUCUCUUCAUGUAACACAUUGGCCUAAGAGAUCUAUAGAGCUUUUUAAAAACAAAGAAGGCAGCAAGAUUUAAAAUAAUAAAAGCAGUUUAUUGUAAAUUAGAAGGAGCAAAUUGGAGGAGAAAUGACAAAAGAAACAGAAAAAUGUUAAAUCAGACAAAGGAAUUAAAAAAAACUCAGUCUUAUUUAGAAGAUGGUCAAACAAAUCUCUUAACUGAUGUUCGCAAUGAUGGUUUCAAGUUAUCUAAGGAAUGGCUGCUUUGAGAUUUGACUGUUAGCGUCCAGCAGCUAGCCCCCUCUUCCUUGAAAGGCUGCCCUUUAAUGAAUAUUGACUGGCACAGGGGUACCGAAGACUGCCUCCUUGCUUUUGGAUGGACUAAUCCCAUGAUGGACUAACCCCGUGAUGGACUAACCCCGUGGUGCAACUUGUGCUCCUAAGUGUCUCCAUGCAAUCAGAGUUAAGAGCGUCUCCAGCUGAGACUACACUCUCGAUCAGCAUUUUUUCUUCGCCCUUUCCUGUUUUUCUCACCUCUGUUGAUCUGAGAUCACGUUCCAAAUAAAUCACGUUUACUAAAUCGUAUUUUCUAUGUAUUUGAGUCAGUUUCC
Molecule: non-coding RNA, 697 nt
Organism: Chlorocebus sabaeus (green monkey)
Lineage: Eukaryota; Metazoa; Chordata; Mammalia; Primates; Cercopithecidae
Source: RefSeq, a predicted model, not a curated record